RNAcentral lists this ribosomal RNA (407 nucleotides) under uncultured bacterium. RNAcentral's name for it is "partial 16S ribosomal RNA". It matches the Rfam family "Bacterial small subunit ribosomal RNA", at positions 28 to 526 of the family's 1533-position model. The record is from RNAcentral.
GACGAACGCUGGCGGCGUGCUUAACACAUGCAAGUCGAACGAAGUGGCGAACGGGUGAGUAACGCGUAAUCAACCUGCCCUUCAGAGGGGGACAACAGGUGGAAACGACUGCUAAUACCGCAUACUGAAGGCGGUGAUUGCGUCUGAUUAGCUAGUAGGUGGGGUAACGGCUCACCUAGGCGACGAUCCCUCGCUGGACUGGGAGGAUGACCGGCCAAACGGGAACUGAGACACGGCCCAGAGUCCUACGGGAGGCAGCAGUGGGGAAUAUUGCACAAUGGGCGAAAGUGUGAUGCAGCAACGCGGCGUGUGUGAAGAAGGCCUUCGGGUUGUAAAGCACUGUCAGCGGAGAGCGUUACCCGCAGAAAAAGCACCGGCUAACUCCGUGCCAGCAGCCGCGGUAAUAC